Molecule: ribosomal RNA, 253 nt
Filed under: uncultured bacterium
Lineage: Bacteria
Description: partial 16S ribosomal RNA
Rfam family: Bacterial small subunit ribosomal RNA
Source: RNAcentral
UACGGAGGGUGCGAGCGUUGUCCGGAAUCACUGGGCGUAAAGAGCUCGUAGGCGGCUUGUCGCGUCGACUGUGAAAUCCCGCGGCUCAACUGCGGGUCUGCAGUCGAUACGGGCAGGCUAGAGUUCGGUAGGGGAGACUGGAAUUCCUGGUGUAGCGGUGAAAUGCGCAGAUAUCAGGAGGAACACCGGUGGCGAAGGCGGGUCUCUGGGCCGAUACUGACGCUGAGGAGCGAAAGCGUGGGGAGCGAACAGG